AACGCGAAGAACCUUACCUACCUUUGAAUCCACAGAACCUUCUGGAGACAGAAGGGUGCCUUCGGGAGCUGUGAGACAGGUGCUGCAUGGCUGUCGUCAGCUCGUGUCGUGAGAUGUUGGGUUAAGUCCCGUAACGAGCGCAACCCUUGUCCUUAGUUGCCAACAGGUAAAGCUGGGUACUUUAAGGAGACUGCCGGUGAUAAACCGGAGGAAGGUGGGGAUGAUGUCAAGUCAUCAUGGCCCUUACAGGUAGGGCUACACACGUGCUACAAUGGCCGGUACAAAGGGAAGCGAACUCGCGAGAGGGAGCCAAUCUCAGAAAGCCGGUCGUAGUCCGGAUUGGAGUCUGCAACUCGACUCCAUGAAGCUGGAAUCGCUAGUAAUCGUGGAUCAGCACGCCACGGUGAAUACGUUCCCGGGCCUUGUACACACCGCGAGC
RNAcentral lists this ribosomal RNA (439 nucleotides) under uncultured bacterium. RNAcentral describes it as "bacterial SSU rRNA". It matches the Rfam family "Bacterial small subunit ribosomal RNA", at positions 958 to 1397 of the family's 1533-position model. The record is from RNAcentral.